Molecule: long non-coding RNA, 598 nt
Filed under: Rattus norvegicus (Norway rat)
Lineage: Eukaryota; Metazoa; Chordata; Mammalia; Rodentia; Muridae
Description: long non-coding RNA NONRATT007666
Source: RNAcentral
ACAAAUAGUGACUUUUAACAGCUUUGGUCUUUUGAUGAUACCAGAGACUCACUUCUUUCUUGUGAAUGAAUGCUUUGUGAAAAGUCAGGAAUCUGUUGAGGUGGCCAGCACUUCUCCUUUCAGGGUGAUGAUGGUAUUUGUUAUUCUUCUCAUUGCUGUGACAACAUAUUCAACUAAAUCAACUUAUCCAUGGUUUGUUUGUAGUGGCCAGGUAGGACACCGGACUCAUGGAGGAGGGGAAGGCAGGGCAGUCAGAGCAGCUCUGGCUAUGGUGACAGGAGCCUGAGGCAGCUUCCUUCUGGUUCUCUCUGACUGCUCUGAAUUUCUGUUACAAGAUGUGAUCUUGCAGCUUUUCGUCCUGCUUUGAUACUUCCUAGCCAUGAUGAAGUCUUCUCCCUCUGGAACUAGAUAUGACAAAUUGUCCUGUAAUUAUCCAUCCCUUACAAGAUAUUCAUAGCUACCUGUGGGCUAUUUAAAGCCACACAGAAUCUGGAUCAUCUUCGUCUUCCUCCAUCUUCCUUCCUUCCUCUGUGAAUUUAAACUUUUACAAUCAAUGGUUGCACUCAAUGGUCUCAACACAACAUUGGUUGAAUGUAUA